CAAUAGCGUAUAUUUAAGUUGUUGCAGUUAAAAAGCUCGUAGUUGGAUUUCGGGUGGGACGCAGCGGUCUCGCAUUGCGUUUGUACUGCUGCAGCCCUCCUUCUUGCCGGGGGCGGCCUCUCGGACUUCACUGUCUGGGGGUCAGAAUCGGCGAUGUUACUUUGAGUAAAUUAGAGUGUUCAAAGCAAGCUUACGCUCUGAAUAUAAUAGCAUGGGAUAACACGACAGGACUCUGGCCUAUCGUGUUGGUCUAUAGGACCAGAGUAAUGAGUAAGAGGGACAGUCGGGGGCAUUCGUAUUCCGUUGUCAGAGGUGAAAUUCUUGGAUUUACGGAAGACGAACAUCUGCGAAAGCAUUUGCCAAGGAUGUUUUCAUUGA
RNAcentral lists this ribosomal RNA (378 nucleotides) under uncultured eukaryote. RNAcentral describes it as "partial 18S ribosomal RNA". It matches the Rfam family "Eukaryotic small subunit ribosomal RNA", at positions 592 to 976 of the family's 1831-position model. The record is from RNAcentral.